CCCUACGGGGGGCAGCAGUGGGGAAUAUUGGGCAAUGGGCGAAAGCCUGACCCAGCAAUGCCGCGUGAAUGAAGAAGGUCUUAGGAUUGUAAAAUUCUGUCCUAUGGGAAGAAACAAAUGACGGUACCAUAGGAGGAAGCCCCGGCUAACUACGUGCCAGCAGCCGCGGUAAUACGGAGGAUGCGAGCGUUAUCCGGAUUUAUUGGGUUUAAAGGGUGCGCAGGCGGCCUGUUAAGUCAGCGGUAAAAGCCCGGGGCUCAACCCCGGCGAGCCGUUGAAACUGGCGGGCUGGAGUUGGAG
RNAcentral lists this ribosomal RNA (300 nucleotides) under uncultured bacterium. RNAcentral describes it as "bacterial SSU rRNA". It matches the Rfam family "Bacterial small subunit ribosomal RNA", at positions 337 to 652 of the family's 1533-position model. The record is from RNAcentral.